UCCCUAGUACGGCGAGUGAAGCGGGAAGAGCUCAAAUUUAAAAUCUGGCAGGCUACGCUUGUCCGAAUUGUAAUCUCGAGAAGUGUUUUCCGCGUUGGCCUGUGUACAAGUCCCUUGGAACAGGGCGUCAUAGAGGGUGAGAAUCCCGUCCUUGACACAGACACCCAAUGCUUUGUGAUACACUCUCAAUGAGUCGAGUUGUUUGGGAAUGCAGCUCAAAAUGGGUGGUAAAUUCCAUCUAAAGCUAAAUACUGGCGAGAGACCGAUAGCGAACAAGUACCGUGAGGGAAAGAUGAAAAGCACUUUGGAAAGAGAGUCAAACAGUACGUGAAAUUGUUGAAAGGGAAACGAUUGAAGUCAGUCGUGCCUGCCUAGAUUCAGCCUUCUGGUGUAUUUCUAGGUCGGCAGGUCAGCAUCAGUUUGGGGGGGUUAACAAGGGAGCUGGGAAUGUGGCAACCUCGGUUGUGUUAUAGCCCAGUUUCGCAUUGAUCUCGCUGGACUGAGGAACGCAGUGCGCCCGCAAGGGUUGGUCUUCGGACACAUUCGCACUUAGGAUGCUGGCAUAAUGGCUUUAAACGACCCGUCUUGAACACGGGACCA
This 600-nucleotide ribosomal RNA is filed under the name Cystofilobasidium infirmominiatum. RNAcentral's name for it is "eukaryotic LSU rRNA". It matches the Rfam family "Eukaryotic large subunit ribosomal RNA", at positions 77 to 664 of the family's 3401-position model. The record is from RNAcentral. Lineage: Eukaryota; Fungi; Basidiomycota; Tremellomycetes; Cystofilobasidiales; Cystofilobasidiaceae.